RNAcentral lists this long non-coding RNA (221 nucleotides) under Physcomitrium patens. Its description in RNAcentral is "long non-coding RNA (PPAT_LNC011382)". The record is from RNAcentral. Lineage: Eukaryota; Viridiplantae; Streptophyta; Bryopsida; Funariales; Funariaceae.
AAUAGUAUAAGUAAUAUGUUGUCAUUAUCACCAAGUAGUAAGAAAAUAGGAGUGGGACACCAGUUAGAGGUCAUUCUUGUAUUAUUAUGGAUUUUUUUUUUCUAAGAUUGCCAUUUCUUGUGUUUCUUGUAUAUUUGAGAGUAGUAAUUCCAGUUAAGAGUUAACAGUGAGGAGUCGAUGACAAGUGUCGAUUGAAGAUGUUCUAGUAUGGAUGAGUUAGU